RNAcentral lists this transfer RNA (77 nucleotides) under Clostridiales bacterium. RNAcentral's name for it is "tRNA-Arg". It matches the Rfam family "tRNA". Rfam says of the family: Transfer RNA (tRNA) molecules are approximately 80 nucleotides in length. Their secondary structure includes four short double-helical elements and three loops (D, anti-codon, and T loops). The record is from RNAcentral. Lineage: Bacteria; Bacillati; Bacillota; Clostridia; Eubacteriales. RNAcentral also lists the same sequence under 1 other name.
GUACCCGUAGCUCAGCUGGAUAGAGCGUGAGAUUCCGGAUCUCAAGGUCAAAGGUUCAACUCCUUUCGGGUACACCA